GAUGAACGCUGGCGGCGUGCCUAACACAUGCAAGUCGAACGGAGUCCAGCCUUAGAGCCCUUCGGGUCAAAGAGGGGAAGACUGAGUGGCGGACGGGUGAGUAACACGUGGGCAACCUGGCUCAUAGAGGGGGAUAACAGAGAGAAAUUUCUGCUAAUACCGCAUAAGCACACACUGCCGCAUGGCAGAGUGUGAAAAGAGAAUCGCUAUGAGAUGGACCCGCGUCUGAUUAGCCAGUUGGCAGGGUAAGAGCCUACCAAAGCGACGAUCAGUAGCCGAUUUGAGAGGAUGAACGGCCACAUUGGGACUGAGACACGGCCCAAACUCCUACGGGAGGCAGCAGUGGGGGAUAUUGCACAAUGGGGGGAACCCUGAUGCAGCGACGCCGCGUGAGUGAAGAAGUAUUUCGGUAUGUAAAGCUCUAUCAGCAGGGAAGAUAAUGACAGUACCUGAAUAAGAAGCCCCGGCUAACUACGUG
RNAcentral lists this ribosomal RNA (478 nucleotides) under uncultured bacterium. RNAcentral describes it as "partial 16S ribosomal RNA". It matches the Rfam family "Bacterial small subunit ribosomal RNA", at positions 28 to 507 of the family's 1533-position model. The record is from RNAcentral.